RNAcentral lists this ribosomal RNA (497 nucleotides) under uncultured bacterium. RNAcentral describes it as "partial 16S ribosomal RNA". It matches the Rfam family "Bacterial small subunit ribosomal RNA", at positions 28 to 507 of the family's 1533-position model. The record is from RNAcentral.
GAUGAACGCUGGCGGCGUGCCUAAUACAUGCAAGUCGAGCGAACAGACGAGGCGCUUGCUCCUCUGACGUUAGCGGCGCACGGGUGUGAAACACGUGUAUAACCUACCUAUCAUACUGGGAUAUCCUCGGAACUCCGGCUCUAACCCCGGAUAAGAUAUUGCUCCACAUGGUUCAUUAGUGAAAUUCGGUUUUGCUGUCUCGUAUCGAUGCUUCCGGGCCGCAUUGGCUAGUUGGUACGGUCAUGGCUUACCAAGGCAACGAUGCGUAGACGACGUGAGAGGGUGAUAGGCCACACUGGAGCGGAGACAGGGUCCAGACGCCUACGGGAGGCAGCAGUAGGGAAUGGUCCGCAAUGGGCGAAAGCAUGACGGAGCAACGGCGCGUGAGUGAUGAAGGUCUUCGGAGCGUAAAACUCGGUUAUGAGGGAAGAACAAAUGUGUAAGUAAAUAUGCACGGCUUGACGGUACCUGGUCAGAAAGCCACGGCUAACUACGUG